AUUGAACGCUGGCGGCAGGCCUAACACCUGCAAAUCGAGCGGAGCGGCGGACGGGUGAGUAAUGCCUAGGAAUCUGCCUGGUAGUGGGGGAUAACGUCCGGAAACGGGCGCUAAUACCGCAUACUAUCAGAUGAGCCUAGGUCGGAGUUGCUAGUUGGUGGGGUAAAGGCCUACCAAGGCGACGAUCCGUAACUGGUCUGAGAGGAUGAUCAGCCACACUGGAAUGGAGACACGGUCCAGACUCCUACGGGAGGCAGCAGUGGGGAAUAUUGCACAAUGGGCGCAAGCCUGAUGCAGCCAUGCCGCGUGUAUGAAGAAGGCCUUCGGGUUGUAAAGUACUUUCAGCGGGGAGGCGUUACCCGCAGAAGAAGCACCGGCUAACUCCGUGCCAGCAGCCGCGGUAAUAC
Molecule: ribosomal RNA, 407 nt
Filed under: uncultured bacterium
Lineage: Bacteria
Description: partial 16S ribosomal RNA
Rfam family: Bacterial small subunit ribosomal RNA
Source: RNAcentral